This 82-nucleotide non-coding RNA is filed under the name uncultured Prevotella sp. Lineage: Bacteria; Pseudomonadati; Bacteroidota; Bacteroidia; Bacteroidales; Prevotellaceae. The record is from RNAcentral.
UCAAGGGGUGCUCAUCAAUUGAUGGGCUGAGAUUAAACCCUCCAACCUGAUCCGGAUAAUGCCGGCGUAGGCAAUGUACUUU